Molecule: long non-coding RNA, 715 nt
Organism: Monodelphis domestica (gray short-tailed opossum)
Lineage: Eukaryota; Metazoa; Chordata; Mammalia; Didelphimorphia; Didelphidae
Source: RefSeq, a predicted model, not a curated record
GACACCGAGGCCCAGGGGAAGUGAUUUAAAGUCUUGUAACAAAUUAAUGACAAAAGAUUUAGGAACUUUUUGGAUUUCAUCCAAAUUCAGUGCUCAAGGCUAGAACCUGGCAAACAAACGUUUACAUACUGCUUUAAGAUAUGCAACCAUGGACAAACAACUCAUUCCACCUCCUUUGGAACUCAAUUUUCUCAUCUAGGGAGACUGAAUUAUGAAAAACAACUGAAGAUGGGUUCCUGAUUCUUCUGUUUUCAUCUCCUCCUCUGGUAGGAAUGGUACUAGAACUUGGCAGGUGGUGGAAACAGAUAUUGUUUAGUCAGAGACUGUCUCACUUUGAAUUUUGUAUCCCUAGCACAGUGCCUGACUUAAUAAAUGAUUAUUGAUCUAUUUAGUGCCCCAAUAAUAGUUGUAUUAUACUACUAGAAAGAGAGACUUUGGAGAUAGAAGACCCUAGUUAAAACUCAAGUCCUAUCACUUUUUGAGCUUAGAUCAAUAAUAUAAGGAAUCUGGGAUCCAGAGACCUUACUUGGCACAUCUCUAGAUCACCAAAAAUGAUAUAGUUUGAUCGAUUGUCUUUGAUGAUCCCUUCCAGCCCUAAAUCUAUGAUUCUAUUAUCCUAAUUACACAUACCUACUUACAGAGAUCAUUUGAUAGUAGUGGGGAAGUUGUUUCUAUUCUCAUUGUAUCUGCCAAAUAAGCCAUCAACAAGAAUGAG